AUUGAACGCUGGCGGCAGGCUUAACACAUGCAAGUCGAGCGAGCGGCGGACGGGUGAGUCAUGUCUGGGAACCUGCCUGAUGGCUGGGGAUAACUCCUGGAACCGGUAGCUAAUACCGCAUACCAUCAGAUUUUCCCAGAUGGGAUUAGCUAGUAGGUGGGUUAAUGGCUUACCUAGGCGACGAUCCCUAGCUGGUCUGAGAGGAUGACCAGCCACACUGGAACUGAGACACGGUCCAGACUCCUACGGGAGGCAGCAGUGGGGAAUAUUGCACAAUGGGCGAAAGCCUGAUGCAGCCACGCCGCGUGUGUGAAGAAGGCCUUCGGGUUGUAAAGCACUGUCAGCGGGGAGGCGGUACCCGCAGAAGAAGCACCGGCUAACUCCGUGCCAGCAGCCGCGGUAAUAC
Molecule: ribosomal RNA, 406 nt
Filed under: uncultured bacterium
Lineage: Bacteria
Description: partial 16S ribosomal RNA
Rfam family: Bacterial small subunit ribosomal RNA
Source: RNAcentral